CUCAUUUCUCAGCCACAAUUUUUUUUUCAGUCUCUCUUUCAUUCAUUGAUCUGAAGAACUUCUUUUCUCCUGAAAUCCUACUAGGGAAAUAAACAAACUCAUAAAUUCGCUUUCACAAUCAGUUGUGUGGAAAGAAUUGAGAAGUAUGGCUAAAGUUGUUUUGAAUCAGAAACAAAUAGGGGACUGGAAAAUGUUGUGUUGCAGUUGGAUUUUAUGGAUGUAAGAAUGUGUUGAGUCCUGGUAGCAUUAGGAAAUAUGGGUGCGUGUUGGAUUCGAGUUGCAGGUAAGGAGGGGACAUAAAAGAACCUGAAACAAACAACAACAAGGCACCUCUCUCAAGAAACAAGACUGCACGAAAGAGGUUUGUCUAAAGUCCCGAAAGAAGAGAUAAUUAGUUGCAACAGUCGACUCUUCAGCCUGGCUGGAUCUCCAUUGCCUUCACUUCAAAAUUGCAUCUCUUGGUAGUUUCUAGCUUUUGGGUGACUGUGGCACAACCAUUACCUCCUGUGAAUUUGACUGUCACUAGUCUUCCAGCAGAUGGGUAAGUGUGUACCUUUAUCUUUCAUAUCAUUUAUAAUUUAUGUGUUCUUUGCUUGUAUUACAUAGUAGCUUUAGCUACCGUUUUAUAGAACAAACCCAGUGCAGACCAUUGGAGAAAACAUUUCAACUAACGAGGGUAGAUAGAGAAUUAGGACAUGAAGGAGAGUACGUUGUUCAAGUUGGUUGUCAAUUGCGUAAUAUAUGCUUGUAUAUCGAGGAGUUCCACUGGAUUUUAUGCAGGUAAUUUUGCAUUUUCUAAGUUAUAUUUAAUACUGCAAAGUGUGUUAUAAUGUGAAGUUCUGGAUUCAUCUUACUCAUUUAUGGUGCGGUUGGGUUCUUACAUAAGAAAAUGGAAAGAGCCGUCAUUCAAAUUUUAAAUAUAAGCUCGUAGCAAGGCAUUUAUAUAUGUUUUCCAUCUACUUCUGCCGCCUGUAUGAUUAUGUUUUUGUGUUGUUUUUCAUAUGAAACUUAAGCGGCGUAGUUGGAGUAUGGAAAUGUUGAUGACUAGUGCUCCAAUCACUGUUUCGGCUGGUUGGAGGAGUUAUCAGACAACUUCUCAAUUACACUCCAGAACAUAAGGAGUGUCUUGUGGUGUUUUGGGACCCUUUAGCAACUUCUUUGAAAACCAGCUCAUGACAAGUAUAAUGCAGGUCUUUGGGCUUAAGUCAAAAAGUAGUACUCUGGUGAUAUUUUAACAGUAGCUGAAUCAUUUGCUGAGGAAAUUGGUUACGCAAGCGGAGUCUCGUGAUAUUUCUGGUGAUAUUUUAGUCUUUCUUUCCCUGUUUUUCAGUUGACACAAACUAGGUUACCCAUCCAUUUAUGAACAUCAACAUAGAUCGAAUAUUGUAUGUCAGUCACAAAAUUUUAGGUUCUCAACAAUACAGUUUAAACUGUGUACGUUUGUAUCAUUUGAAAAAUCCU
This is a long non-coding RNA of Papaver somniferum (opium poppy), 1461 nucleotides long. RefSeq lists it as uncharacterized. The record is from RefSeq and is a predicted model, not a curated record. The transcript has 5 exons. Lineage: Eukaryota; Viridiplantae; Streptophyta; Magnoliopsida; Ranunculales; Papaveraceae.